GAUGAACGCUGGCGGCGUGCCUAAUACAUGCAAGUCGAGCGAACGGACGAGAAGCUUGCUUCUCUGAUGUUAGCGGCGGACGGGUGAGUAACACGUGGAUAACCUACCUAUAAGACUGGGAUAACUUCGGGAAACCGGAGCUAAUACCGGAUAAUAUUUUGAACCGCAUGGUUCAAAAGUGAAAGACGGUCUUGCUGUCACUUAUAGAUGGAUCCGCGCUGCAUUAGCUAGUUGGUAAGGUAACGGCUUACCAAGGCAACGAUGCAUAGCCGACCUGAGAGGGUGAUCGGCCACACUGGAACUGAGACACGGUCCAGACUCCUACGGGAGGCAGCAGUAGGGAAUCUUCCGCAAUGGGCGAAAGCCUGACGGAGCAACGCCGCGUGAGUGAUGAAGGUCUUCGGAUCGUAAAACUCUGUUAUUAGGGAAGAACAUAUGUGUAAGUAACUGUGCACAUCUUGACGGUACCUAAUCAGAAAGCCACGGCUAACUACGUGCCAGCAGCCGCGGUAAUACGUAGGUGGCAAGCGUUAUCCGGAAUUAUUGGGCGUAAAGCGCGCGUAGGCGGUUUUUUAAGUCUGAUGUGAAAGCCCACGGCUCAACCGUGGAGGGUCAUUGGAAACUGGAAAACUUGAGUGCAGAAGAGGAAAGUGGAAUUCCAUGUGUAGCGGUGAAAUGCGCAGAGAUGUGGAGGAACACCAGUGGCGAAGGCGACUUUCUGGUCUGUAACUGACGCUGAUGUGCGAAAGCGUGGGGAUCAAACAGGAUUAGAUACCCUGGUAGUCCACGCCGUAAACGAUGAGUGCUAAGUGUUAGGGGGUUUCCGCCCCUUAGUGCUGCAGCUAACGCAUUAAGCACUCCGCCUGGGGAGUACGACCGCAAGGUUGAAACUCAAAGGAAUUGACGGGGACCCGCACAAGCGGUGGAGCAUGUGGUUUAAUUCGAAGCAACGCGAAGAACCUUACCAAAUCUUGACAUCCUUUGACAACUCUAGAGAUAGAGCCUUCCCCUUCGGGGGACAAAGUGACAGGUGGUGCAUGGUUGUCGUCAGCUCGUGUCGUGAGAUGUUGGGUUAAGUCCCGCAACGAGCGCAACCCUUAAGCUUAGUUGCCAUCAUUAAGUUGGGCACUCUAAGUUGACUGCCGGUGACAAACCGGAGGAAGGUGGGGAUGACGUCAAAUCAUCAUGCCCCUUAUGAUUUGGGCUACACACGUGCUACAAUGGACAAUACAAAGGGCAGCGAAACCGCGAGGUCAAGCAAAUCCCAUAAAGUUGUUCUCAGUUCGGAUUGUAGUCUGCAACUCGACUACAUGAAGCUGGAAUCGCUAGUAAUCGUAGAUCAGCAUGCUACGGUGAACACGUUCCCGGGUCU
RNAcentral lists this ribosomal RNA (1372 nucleotides) under uncultured bacterium. RNAcentral's name for it is "bacterial SSU rRNA". It matches the Rfam family "Bacterial small subunit ribosomal RNA", at positions 28 to 1381 of the family's 1533-position model. The record is from RNAcentral.